CCUACGGGAGGCAGCAGUGAGGAAUAUUGGUCAAUGGACGCAAGUCUGAACCAGCCAUGCCGCGUGCAGGAAGACGGCUCUAUGAGUUGUAAACUGCUUUUGUACGAGGGUAAAUCCCGAUAUGUGUAUUGGGUUGAAAGUAUCGUACGACUUAGGAUCGGCUAACUCCGUGCCAGCAGCCGCGGUAAUACGGAGGAUUCAAGCGUUAUCCGGAUUUAUUGGGUUUAAAGGGUGCGUAGGCGGUUCGAUAAGUUAGAGGUGAAAUCCCCGGGCUCAACUCCGGCACUGCCUCUGAUACUGUCGGGCUAGAGUUUAGUUGCGGUAGGCGGAAUGUAUGGUGUAGCGGUGAAAGGCAUAGAGAUCAUACAGAACACCGAUGGCGAAGGCAGCUUACCAAACUACGACUGACGUUGAGGCACGAAAGCGUGGGGAGCAAACAGGAUUAGAUACCCUGGUAGUC
RNAcentral lists this ribosomal RNA (460 nucleotides) under uncultured bacterium. Its description in RNAcentral is "partial 16S ribosomal RNA". It matches the Rfam family "Bacterial small subunit ribosomal RNA", at positions 338 to 795 of the family's 1533-position model. The record is from RNAcentral.